Long non-coding RNA from Papaver somniferum (opium poppy), 2311 nucleotides. RefSeq lists it as uncharacterized. The transcript has 6 exons. The record is from RefSeq and is a predicted model, not a curated record. NCBI's taxonomy places the organism in Eukaryota, Viridiplantae, Streptophyta, Magnoliopsida, Ranunculales, Papaveraceae.
ACUAACAGAGUCUUACAUAAGUAUUUCAUAGCAGAUAUUGUAGUUUACAUAAGUAUGGAAAACUUUCGUAGUUUUCUUAUAUUUGCAUAUAAGUAUUUAGCUAAUUUCGGAUGUUUUAGAUUUAUUUCUUGACAUAGGUUGUUAGAGUAUGGAACUUUUUUGUAUGACAUCCGUUCCGCAAAGUUGAAUUACUUGACGAACUUUGUUCAUAGGGGUUCCUUCUUCGUUUCAUUGGUAAUUAGGUUCAUGUUUGGAUGAGAAGAACAAAUAUGAUAUACCUGCAUCGAUCUGUAACAAGUAUACAUCACCGAAGCAAAGGCAAGAGAUAAACAGAUCAAUUGAGGGAGCCAUACUUGAUGUUGAAAGGAAAGUGUAAAGACACGUAUGAGGAAAGAACACAAUGAUUGAUUGAAAUAUUUGCAGACAUUGAACAACCAAGUGCUUUUGGCCGAUGAAAUCAAUACUAAAGUGGAUAGGGCCAGCUUCGACCUUAAUUCUUGAUGUCAGGAUAAUACUGUCAGCCAGGUGUGAAUGUAGUUUUUGGAGUAUUGAAUGUUCUUGAGUUGAGCUUUGUAGGUUCUUUGUAUGUUUAAUGAAUUUCUAUUGAUAUUUAACUUACUACUGUCCGUAUAAAUGCAACACCAUCUGAUUUUUGUUUCAACAGAGGCUCAAUAGGAACUUUUGAAUAGGUUCUUUCUGUUCAUUUUGCACUGUGUUCCCAAUAUAUAACUGCAUCCCUCAUAGGUGGCAUCAUCAGCCACGCAAGACAAGUUCAAGAGCUUUUGGUCCCUCGGUAAAGGCAAACCAUGUCUCCUCACUGUUCAUUUUACUUUAUUUAGAUGCACUCAUAUUAUGUAUCAUUUUUCCUUGGUUUUAAGUAAUGAUGCAUACAGAAAUGGAAAUGUGCGUAUGAAUUAAACUAAAUGAACUAUAUCUUCUCUUAUUUAUCCACAAAGUUACCUUGAUUUGGUUUGUCAUGGUGUUCUUUUUGGGUUAGAAUUAUGUGGCUGCUGUUUUAAAUAUUGGGAAGUUCAUAGAUUAUUUUCUUAGUUUAAGGCUCUGAGCAACUUUGGCAGAGAAAUCAAUGUAGGCUGAAUUUAGGGGUGAAUAAGAAUAUUGGAGAUUCUAUGUUUAUCCGGGUGUUGGACGAGAUCUAUAUUGUUGUGUUGUAAAUGUAUGUUUAUCCGGGUGUAGGACAAGAUUCUAUAUUGUUGUGUUGUAAAUAUCGUAUACAAUUUAGACAGUUAGUCAAUCGGAUGUUAUUGAUUAAUGGUUAACUUCAUGAUCGUCGGCCUUGAAGCAGUCGUACUUUUGGUAAAUUUUUAAGUCAAUCUGUUGUUUGAUUAUUUUUGGCAGAUUCUGAGAUUGCGAAAGUUGAACCUAUAGUUGUAUUUUUUGUAUCCUUUAAACCAUAUCUUCCUUUCAAGUGCGAGGUGGUGACGUAACCAACAUUCCUACUCAAAUUUUAUGCUACAUUUACCGGCUGAAUUUCAGCACCAAAAACGCCUCAUGGAGGAAUUUUUAAAUGCUUCUCCGCCAAGUGGAAACCAAGCCUAAUUGUUGGGUAAGUACAUGAAAUACUCCGUAAAGCUCCUUAAAUGAUUUACAAGUUCCAGGGAUUUGGAUAGAUCAACCAAUUAAUCCAAAGCUUUUGUAAUGGACCAAGUUAUUCAAGAGAUAUUUCUGGAGUGAUCUGCCAACUGGACCAGGUUGUUCGACCUUUAUUCAUGUUGCCUUUAAUUCCAUUUCUGGUUGGCAAAGAUCUUUUCUUUCUUUAUGAUUCUUUUUCUUGCAUUAUUGUUCAAUAGGGUUUUAUUUUUGGGUCAAAAAAGUUUAUUAUAUGGCUCACAAAAUUUCUGUGUUUUUGGCUUGCUAUGGUGUUAUUGCUUCGUCAAAGGUUGCGAGGUGACUGUGUGUGGAAAUCUUAGGCCACCGCAUGCAAGUAAAUGAAGAUCAGAGAUGGAUUCAUGAUUUCAUCCGGUCAGCCUGUUAACGAUUACAUCGACUUUUUUGUCAUUUGCUUAUUGAACAGUCGACCUAAUACCCGAAUUUCGCACAUUUUUUGGACGAUCGCAGAUGAGAAAAAAAUUUAUUAGGAAGAGGGAUACGGCAAUGCACAGAUCUAGGUGAUAAAAACUUCUUAAUGAAAUUAGACUGGUAGCUAUACUUGAGCAUAAAAUCUUGGGACGUGUCUUGGUUUCUGUCCAAAUGCAUCUUGGUUACGCGUACCCCUGAAUUCAUGCCUAAUGCCAAAUGAGAUUUUUUUUAAAUAGUUUUAACAUUUUUCAACUAAGAAAAAAUUGCCACUUUA